AGCGCAGCGACCCUUGGGCCGGUGGCGCGCUGUCGGUGCCGCGCGUGGCGCAUACUGAUUGCGCGCGAGAGUU
RNAcentral lists this small nucleolar RNA (73 nucleotides) under Trypanosoma cruzi. RNAcentral's name for it is "HACA small nucleolar RNA (snoRNA)". It matches the Rfam family "Trypanosomatid snoRNA TB11Cs4H3". Lineage: Eukaryota; Euglenozoa; Kinetoplastea; Trypanosomatida; Trypanosomatidae. The record is from RNAcentral.